AAAGUUACUCAAGCGCGCAUAAAGGAUGCCUUGACGUAAGACACCGAGGAAGGACGUAGUCGGCUGCGAUAAGCCGCGGGGAGCUGCCAAACAAGCUUUGAACCGUGGAUGUCCGAAUGGGGAAACCUCACUAGAGUCAUAUCUAGUGGCUACCGUCUGAAUAUAUAGGACGGAUAAGCGGUAAGCUGGGGAACUGAAACAUCUUAGUACCCAGAGGAAAGGAAAGUAAACAACGAAUCCCGUAGUAGUGGCGAGCGAACCGGGACUAGCUCAAACCUUAACCAUUUCCAUCUAUUUAUUUAGGUGGAUAAGUUGGUAGACGAAAAUGUUUAAGGGGUUGUGACAAGUAAUUAACCAGUACGGAGCCCUGAGAAUUUCUCAGAUUUCCGUACUGAUAGCAGGCUCUACCAAUGGUCUGCAUAAGGUAAAAAAUUUGCGAUGCGAGCAGAAGCUUCUGGAAAGGGGCGCCAUAGACCGUGAAAGCCGGGUAUGCCAAGUGUUGCAAACCUUAUUAUUAUUAGGCUAUAAGACUUGUCUUAUAGUGUGUCGAGUAGGACGGGGCACGUGAAAUCCUGUCUGAAACUGGGGGGUCCACCCUCCAAAGCUAAAUAUGUCUUACGAUCGAUAGUGAACAAGUACCGUGAGGGAAAGGUUAAAAGAACCCCGGAUAGGGGAGUGAAAUAGAGCCUGAAAUUAUGCGCGUACAAGGAGUCGGAGCUAGAUUUAGUCUAGUGACGGCGUGCUUUUUGUAGAACGAUCCAGCGAGUUAUUUUGCAGCGCAAGCUUAAGCCAUUUGGCGGAGGCGUAGUGAAAGCGAGCCUUAAUAGGGCGACAAGUGUUGCAAAGUAGACCCGAAACCAGGUGACCUAACCAUGGGCAGGCUGAAGCGUGGGUAAAACUACGUGGAGGGCCGAACCGUAGCGAGUUGCAAAACGCCCGGAUGACUUGUGGUUAGAGGUGAAAUGCCAAUCGAACCUGGAGAUAGCUGGUUCUCCUCGAAAUAGCUUUAGGGCUAGCGUCGUGUGGUAGCUGUGUGGGGUAGAGCUCUGUUUUGGAAUGGGGCCCGUAAGGGUAUCCACCCUUGACAAACUACGAAUACGCACAGUGGUAUCACGGCAGUUAGAACGUGGGGGCUAAGCUCCACGCUCGAAAGGGAAACAGCCCAGAUCGCCAGCUAAGGUCCCUAAAUAUACACUCAGUGGAAAACGAAGUGGGAUUUCUUCGACAAUGAGGAUGUUGGCUUAGAAGCAGCCAUUCAUUUAAAGAGUGCGUAACAGCUCACUCAUCAAGAGAUCCUGCGCGGAAAAUGUAACGGGGCUAAAGUGUAUUACCGAAGCUGCGAAUGCUGCUAUAAAUUUAUUUGUAGCAGCGUGGUAGAGGAGCGUUGAUAUUGCAUUGAAGUCAGACCGGGAGGUCUGGUGGAGCGUUAUCAAGUGAGAAUGCUGGAAUGAGUAACCACAAGAAGGGUGAGAAUCCCUUCCACCGAAAGAGCAAGGUUUCCUGGGCCAUGAUAAUCAUCCCAGGGUUAGUCGGUCCUAAGCCGAGGCGAGUAGCGUAGGCGAUGGACAACGGGUUAAUAAUCCCGUACCGGUAAUAUAUUGUUUCAAGAUGCGCGGCAUGGUAGCAGAAGCGGAUUCAUGGUUAUAUCCGUCUAACUGGUCUAACGGGCCAGGAAUGAGACACCUGAAUAAGGUGAAUUUCUGUGAGAGUACUGACUAGAAAAGUCUUGAUACUUAUGUAUGUUGCCGACCGUACCGCAAACCGACACAGGUGCUCAGGUCGAGAAGACCAAGGUGUACGAGUGAAUCUUCGUUAAGGAACUCGGCAAUACAGCGACCGUAACUUAGGGAUAAGGUCUGCCUGGGUAUGCCACAAUGUUCCAAAAACAUGAGAAAAACCUAGGUUUUUCUCAUCGCGCCGGCAAAAUGGAAUACAUUUUGUCGGGUUGCUCUCUUUCUGAGAAGAAGAGGAGCAAAAACCCAAUUUUUGGGAUGUUGUGGCAUAUCUAGGCCGCAGCUAAAGAACCCAUGCAACUGUUUACCAAAAACACAGGUCUCUGCUAACACGAAAGUGGAUGUAUAGGGGCUGACUCCUGCCCGGUGCUGGAAGGUUAAGGGGAAGGCUUUACGGCUUGAACUUAAGCCCCAGUGAACGGCGGCGGUAACUAUAACCGUCCUAAGGUAGCGAAAUUCCUUGUCAGGUAAGUUCUGACCCGCACGAAUGGAGUAAUGAUAUGGGUACUGUCUCAACGAAGAGCUCGGUGAAAGUGCAUUGACGGUAAAGAUGCCGUCUGUCCGCAGCAGGACGAAAAGACCCCGUGGAGCUUUACUACAGUUUGGCAUUGAAUCGGGUUGUAACAUGUGUAGGAUAGGUGGGAGGCUUUGAAGCCAGAGCGCUAGCUCUGGUGGAGCCAACGGUGAAAUACCACCCUUGUUACAAUCUUAUUCUUACAUUAACCGUUAUCCGGUUAGUGGACAGUGUCUGAUGGGUAGUUUAACUGGGGCGGUUGCCUCCUAAAGAGUAGCGGAGGCGUUCAAAGGUUGGCUAGAUACGGAUGGAAAUCGUAUCGGUAGUGUAUACGCAUAAGCCAGCUUGACUGUGAGGCCUACAAGCCAAGCAGGCACGAAAGUGGGAGUAAGUGAUCCGCUGUCCAAACCAUUUUUGGUUUACGAAUGUGGUAUCGGCAGCGCAAACGGAUAAAAGUUACCCCGGGGAUAACAGGCUUAUAGCGCCCAAUAGUUCACAUAGACGGCGCUGUUUGGCACCUCGAUGUCGGCUCAUCACAUCCUGGAGGAGGAGCAUCUUCCAAGGGUUCGGCUGUUCGCCGAUUAAAGUGGUACGUGAGCUGGGUUCAGAACGUCGUGAGACAGUUCGGUUUAUAUCCGCUGUGGACGUCAGGAAAUUUGAGAGGAUUUGUCGCUAGUACGAGAGGACCGCGAUGAACGCACCGCUGGUGUACCGGUUGUUCUACCAAGAGCAUCGCCGGGUAGCUAUAGUGCGGACCAGAUAAGCGCUGAAAGCAUAUUAAGCGCGAAACUGACCUCAAGAUUAGAUUUCCCCAGAGACCCCUGAAAGACUAUCAGGUUGAUAGGCGCAAGGUGUAAGUGCGGUAACGCAUUCAGCCGAAGCGUACUAAUAGGUCCAUUGACUUUUU
Molecule: ribosomal RNA, 3154 nt
Filed under: Candidatus Saccharimonadota bacterium
Lineage: Bacteria; Candidatus Saccharimonadota
Description: 23S ribosomal RNA
Rfam family: Bacterial large subunit ribosomal RNA
Source: RNAcentral